UAACUUAAGUUUAUAAACAAUUUCUUUUCCACUUUCUGCAACUUUUUCAUGCAUAUAACAUGAAAUAUCAUACAUUUUCAGGCUUGCAUUUGUAACGUUAUCUCCUGUCACCAUAAUUUACUGCUCUUAAAGAUUAUUCUGACACAUUUUAGUAGUAAGAUCCACUAAGUAUUCAUUUCUAUCUUUGAUACAAUUAAGUAUAUUGUAUAAAAUCCUAUGGAUAAUAUUAAUAUCCCUGUAGCAUAAUGUUCAGGAGAGUUUGCAACAACUAAUAUUAUCUGUUGUUUCAGAAUAUGUAUCACCUAGGAAGCCUUCUUGUGGAAAGGGUGAGACAAGAUGUUCUUCUAAGACAAUGUGACUAGUACCACUUGGGAUUUCUUGGAGCUCCUGCAGGGGCCCAUCAUGGCUGCUGUCUGCCCAUUCUGAUGGAACCUGUGAGGAUCCAAAUCAUUCUGUGCUGGGGAAGAAAGCCAUGGCACUGGCAAGGCAGGGGCCAUGCUCUCAGUGUGCCUUCUCCAGAUGCUGGGCAUAUGGUCUUGUCCUGAGAGCUCCAAGAUAAUUUGGCUUAGCUUAUUUGGUGAAGGAUGCAGCUGGAGCAGAGAGUGUGGAGAGAGACUUACUGCACUUCCAGAUAACAGCCUUGCUGAGCUUGAUUGAUGGAUGCUGUUUAAUCUGCCAGACAGGCUAAAACUUAGGAAAUGGAGCAGAAACAUGCAGCUUGGGCAAACCAUUUGUGUAUAGCAAAGACAUACACAGUGUCAUUUUAGGCAGUGUUUGUGCUAGGAAGCCACUGUGCAGAGGCUUCCUCACCAGCACAGCUGGGCAUUGAAGUGCUUUAUUCUGUGCAUCAGAGCACUGUAUGUGUUUUGGCCACCUCUGUCAAGGGAUGAGACUUCUUUCCUCUUCCAAGCCUUUCCCUUUGCAAUUAUAUUGCUGCAGCAGAAGGCCAUCUAUCUAGUCAUAAAAGCAAGUGUUUUUCAGUCACACCCCUGAAGUCUUCAAAAGACCUCAGAAGAUACACAGAGGAUGGUUGAGUACAAGAGAAGCAGUGUCCAAUAAUUCAUUGCUGAGAUGAACUCAGAAGAUGUGGGCUUUGCUCUCUCAGGCUCUUGCUGACUUGUUGCAUGGUGCUGAGCACCUUCCUGGUCAAACCAGUGUCCUCCAUGCCUGCCUUGGACUUGCUCUGCACUCAAUGUUCUCAGUGGAAAUGAUUGUAACAUGAAGAAUCUCUUCCAGGUAGGGUGAUUUAUCAUGUGCAGGAAACUGGAUGCAACUGGAGUACCUUGUUGCUAUUAAGAUCUUCAUCUUCACUUGGCUGAAGAUGAAGUUGUGGAGGCAAACUACACCAUGAUGUAAACAAGACUGGAGCUUGUACAACUUUUAAGACCAAGUGUGGCUAUUCCACUGCAGCUUGCCACUGCACAGUCUGGCAAUCCAGUCUGAAAGAGCACUUUUGGGACUUAGGAUAUAAAGAAUAAAAUUGUAGAGGAUACAGUUAAAAUGACAACAACAACAACAAAGCCAGAAGAAUUCAACACAUUUUUUUCUUUCUUGAAAGGGGUAUGGAGUUGGUAUAACACUACUGCAUGUGUGAUAUACUCACCAAGUGUAUUUCAAUUUAGUGGAGAACAAUGAGAUUUGCUUUUCCUCUUAGAGGUGUUAGUAGACUCAAAGGUGGAAGAGGAGACAAAAACAAGCUUGCAUCAAAGCAAGUGGAUCAAGAAAAUACGAUAUCAAGUGGCCUCUCUCCUAAUUGUACUGCUAAAGUCUCCAGGUUCCUGAAACCGUACUUAGCUCACGUGGAAGCAGGUGUGGCCCACAACAUGCCUGCUGGACUUGCACUUUUGAAGGCUUGGAAUUACAAUCACUCUAAGUAAUAUGCCCUAUUUGUCUGGCCACGCUAUCAGGGACCUUCUUGAUGAUCUUGAUGCAACUCAAACUUAACCGCCACAGCUGACAACGGUGUUGCCAUUCAGGCCAGAUCACAGCCAUUGUGAAAUUUCUACCCCAAACCAUUAUUUGAGAGCAACAGAAAAGCUGUUUUUUCUGGCUGUGGUCCACAUCAGUUGGAAACGAUCACUUUUUGAUGAAGAACACCUUAAAAGAUGCAAUGACUGGCAAAUCUUGCAAGUUGUCCUUCCCGAGACAGCACAGUAUGGACCAAGCAGGAGUGUACAGCACAACAAAGUCAAAGCACAAACCCUGUGGAUGACCAGUAGGAAUGCCAAAAAUGGUAAAGGACUGUGAGGUAACAGCAGUGCCAGAAACUGAAUACAUCUCAAAAUAAAAAUAUUGUGCUGAUAUGAACUGGAUAUUUUACAGGACAGAAAUGGAAUAUGCCCUUCAUCUAAGGGCUGUUAUUUAUUUAUUUACCUUCACGAGCUGCAACAGGCUUUGAGCAACAGAGGAACAAACACUUGUAAAGAAACCUUUGUAACAGAAAGAGCCCGGCUCCUGCAUGUUUCUUUGCUACCCUUUACCUGUGGAAAGGUUAGGAUCACAAGUCCCUGCAAGCUGACCCUGCAUAUUUCGGUUGCAUCCUACUUGGGACUGUGAGGCUUUAUUGCUGAUUCCCAGAAGCCCUGGCAAGUGAACAAGGUGUGCUUCUCACUGCACACUCAUUUGUUACAACCCCAACAUGCAAUGGUUUGCAGGUGUGUGGUUCUGAGGAUGAAAUGGACUAGCAGUGCCUUGUACUACAGAGCCCUUGUUCCUUCUCUUGACAACAGUUCUUGGUGCUGCUUUUUUUGGCUUGUGGUCCAUCCUAGUCUCCUUUACUCUAGGAAGCUUAUGUCUUCCUGCCCAUACUAACUCUCACUAUGCUAUGGGGAGCUCAAGAUAGCAAACACAGACUCUAUCGUUAAUUCCAAUAAUUGUUUAUUAAAUAGAAAAAAAAAAAGCAUACAGAAAUCCAUACCAAGACAGACCUUCAUCUCCAUCCUCUACACUCCCUCAGGGGGUUUUCAUCAAUCAAACACUGCAUUUCUGGCAAGAAAUAAAGAGCGGUAAGUUUGAACUUCUGCUCAGCAAAGUGAAUCCACACUCCUUACUUGCUAUGUUGCCUGGGAGAGAAGGCUUCCUGGAUCUUACACAAUCACUGAUGUUGUGGCACUGGACUCUACCCUUGCCCAUACCUUCAGCCUGCAUUGUCCAUAGUAAUGUCAAGGGGACUUCUACUUGGCUUAGGCAAGUAGAAUCUUUCUUUUGGCCUAGUUUGAUGUGGAUCAGCCUCUCUGUCUAGUACAACAAUCUACAAUGCAUCCAGCCCUUGCUUGUCAUGCCUAGCUGGACAGAAACACAGGUCUAUGUAAAGUACAUUUUCCUUUUUUACUUCCAUCUUAUUUGGGGUCAUUCUCCCCUAUGCAGCACUGACAGGUGCUUGGGUGGCUGUGCAUCUUGAUAGGCCAUCUAGAGAUCCCCAUGGAUGUUUUACCAGUACUAAUUUUAAGAGGAGUAAGAGAUCAUCCCUGAUGAUGUCCUUCCUCACCAAGAAAGAACAGCGUGAAGUUGAUCAUAGGUGCAUAUGUUCCUGUAAUGAUUUUGAAGCAAUGGGUAAAUCCCAUGAAAGUGAUGUUUACUACUGUUUCAUCCUACAUUUGUGGAUAGCAUAGGCUGAGCAUGGCUAUACAUGGCAUAAUCUGAGUGGUGGCUAUUGCCAGCAUCCCAAUAGCACAAUCAGCCCCUAUUGCUCCCACCCAUCCCCAUGGGGCUCCCAUAUUAAAAAAAUAAAUAAAAAAUGUAAUAAUAAUACAGGAGCUUUUCACAGUGCAGAUAUGAGAGUGGAGGGAAGCAGAAGCAUGCAAGCAACCGUAUUAUCCAGAGGGAUGCUCACUUCCCCAUGGGAAACCCAAGGGCAGCUGAGCUGUGCACCUAGCACCUAGCCUAGCUGUGCAAAGGCUCACCAUCACUUCCCUGCCAGGUGGCUGGCGAUGAGUGGUCCUAAGUGGUUUAUAUUUAGAGAAUCCCCUCUUUGCAUUGGGAAGGUCUUGUUUUCAGUCCCAAAAUGCUCUGCAAAAUGAAUGAAUUGCUGUUUUCUAGCCAGCCUGACUAGGAAACAUGGCUCACACAGUUGCUGGGAACUGAAAGAAACAUCCUGGUUUGCAGAGCAUAAAUUAGGACAAUGCAUUCUUAUUCUCAUGGAUUUUCCCUGAGAAAAAAUCCAACAGUGGGAGUGUGUUAGAGCGGUAAAAUACAAUUCAUGACAACAGUCCCACUGAGAGGAGGAUUUUUUUUCCCUUUAGUUGCUUUUAAUUGUGGUAAGGAGCAAACACAUUCCUCUUUAAUUUCCAUUGGCAAGGUCUCCGGGACUAUGUGAGUGCCAAGAAGUGUGCUGUGGCUGGCUUUGCAUUUCCUCCUCUCUUCUUCCCCUCCUCCACCCCUCCCUCAUCUUACGGGUAUUACAGCCAAUCCCUCUGCAAAUACCUUUUUCACAGGCAGUGUAAGCACUCUCUCUUGUUUUUCUCCUUUCAAAACUCUGCUCUAUCUCUUUUGGCCAGCUGCAGCCUUCCUAGAGCAUCUUCUACCUGACAAAAGAAGGUACCUUUGAUAGUCAGGCACGAUGGUAAAGUUGAAACACAUGCUUGGUUCAGAUACCGAUGAACUUUAAUUUACCUCAAUUCAUUAGCAAUUUUUAAAACCACAGUUAAUGGAAGGCAGCCUGUAAAAUAAUUGGAAGUAAAUGAUGAAGGAGAAACUCUGGGGGGAGGAAGGAAGGGAAGCGGCUUACAGCAGGAGUCUAAGCCAGGCUUUCAUCUUCAGGGCAGUCCGGUUUUGAACCCUGAUGGGAAAGGUCAUGAAUUUUAAAAUGUGUCUCACAGCAGACAGCUCUAAUCAUAAAGCUAACACUAUCUGCAGUGCAUGUCUGACCAUGUGAGGCUCGCGGCUGACUGAAGGAGGCUGACUUUCAAGGGGAGGAUGCUGCUUUGAGCAGGAAGGUGUGGGAUAAGCAGAACCGAUGCCAUAUCUGUCAGUGCCAGAAUGAAGCACUGGGCUGUUGGGGCAGGGGAAAACAUGCCACUUCUAGUGGAGUUUGCAGCAGCAGAAGGACCGUGUAGUGCCUUGUGCUCUUCUCUGGGCUCCUUGAGAGCCCAGCGUUUCCCCUUCUUGCAUGUCAGUUAGGAAGUGUAACAUCUACUGCUUUAGCUUGCUAUUCACAUCUUCAGUUUUAAUACAGUUUCCAGCCUAUUGCAUGCAAAAGCUGGAAUGCUCUCUACAGCUAUCCUGGGAAUCAUUGCUCUGCCAUUUGCCAGGCUGUGUUUGAAAUCAAGGGAUGCUAAUGUUUUGGCAACACCUUACAGUGCCUCUGACAAAAGAGUUGUGGUUGGUGUCUAUCUCAGUCUUAAUUGUUUUCUUAAUUGGAUGCUGCUGAGGCUCAGACAGUUAUUUGUAGGAUGUGAGAAAACACUCAAUUCUCUCUCUGACUUCAUCUGCAUUUUCCAAAAUCCUUCCACUGUUCAUCUACCACAUCUUGGGCUCUGCUCUUCCUAGCACGUAUGGAAGUGCAGUCCAGUGGUGUUAAUCACCACGUGGUGUCUAGACAUGCUGAAAACACUUAAGCAACUGUGACAUCUGUUUGGGCAGCCAGUGUUGUUGGGAAACUUGACCCUAUUUAUGAACAGUUUUUAAGACCAAGUUCCAGUUGUGACAAGAUAAUAAAUACAAAGCGUCUUUACAUACUGUGACCAGAGCUUCAUGGUCAACAUGCUCUCACAGGAGGGGUGGUCUGGCUGUGAAAGGUUAGCUCUCGGGGCAUAUGUGUUCAGUUUUCAGGUCUGGUGCAAACUUCAUGUCUGACCUUUGCAAAGGUGUGUGCUUUCUUUGUAUCUGGAAUAAAUGGUGAUGGUAAUAGAGGUAAUACCUGGAAUCAGAAUGAUUAUGGGACUCUUCAGAUUGUGCCAGCUAAUUUGAUUGUUACCAAAAUAAAGUCCCCGUGAUCUUACCAGUAUUCAGUGCUCCAUUACAUAGAUUUAGCAGUCUGUGAACAAGAGUGGGAGCCAGUAUGGAAUGUCUUUUGGUUCUGCAGCAACAGAAAACUCAAAGUCAGGAUUAUUUUUAGUGUGCAACUGCUAGGUUUUUCUGUGUGUGAUGUGGAGCAGAAUUUUCAAGAGCAUCUGGUCCUUUGCUGUUAAAUGUUUACUUCACUCUUGAAUAUGAGAUUUGGGGCUCUGAUGGAGGAUCUCUGGUAGAUUUAACUGUUAACUGUUAACUGUUAACAUCAUCUCCUCCAGCACCUCUGCCAAAAAUUACUGGAAAAAGGUAUAGAGAAAAGCAGCAAACCUGGUGGAGACGGUGCCGUGAUCUUUUCUGUCAUCCAUCCUCCAAUGGUUUGUUUCACCGUAGAGAAAACCUAGGGAUUCACUCAGGUGUGAGCUUCUCCCAUGCUGUGUCUGGCAAGCAGUUAGUGACAAGAGAAUGAUGGUGCUUUGCUUGAUGUGCAGACAGGCUUCCCCGCAGCUCACUGUGAAAGAGCUGAGGGACAGCAAGAUCCGCUAGAGUUGAUUUGGGUAGCCCUAGCUAUGCAGCGCCAGGAAAAUGUCAACAACCAGGUACCAGGGGCCCCUAAGCAGGGCUAACCCCAUGCCCCCAGGCAAGGCUCAGUUUACAUUCACAUCUCCCUUUGGUGACACGCCAGUGAGUUUCCAGGGAACUCACAGCUCUGAAAGGGCUUCUGCAAGAGUUAGUUUCUCUGCUCAUCUCACAUCUGAGAUGUGAUUUCAGUGGCUGUGUUUUUUAUGGUGGGGUCUCCAGCAAUACAAGUAUUACAAGGUAUUUAUUUGCCAAGCCUUUUCUGCUGUGUUUCAGCCUCUCCUCUCCCCCUUCCCUGGCUUAUCACUGGUGGAAGCGGGUGUAAAGUCCUUUGAACGAAGACAUCAAAGGACAGUUGCAUCUCUGUUCUUUAACCAGGCUUAUAAAGAGAUUGUGAUAAAGGACAACAAUACAUGUCAGUGUUGCCCAGUUAUUGUUCUGUGCUUUGUAGUUUUAUUAGGAAAUAAUUUCUCACCCUGUGUGGCUCCUGGUGAGUUUUGUUUCUGUGUUGCUGGAUUUGAUCUGCCCACUGAAAGGCCUGCCACAGAACUGAGAGUUUUGCCAGCUGUGAGUUAAGAGGGAGACAUUAUUGAAAAAGUUCAAGCUCUGCUUCCUAGCAGCCAAUUUACCAUCUGUCUCCCUCUCCCUCACGCCCCUUUUAUAGCAAAAAUGCAAACAAUUUGUUUGACCUCUGCUGAAUCUGUAGAACUCUGGGCUUUUAAAGUGUUGAUUUAACAAAUAAAAACCCAAUGUGACAGCAGCAACAACCUCAAAUUCAAAGCCAAUAAACCCAGGUAACAGCAAGGCUUGUUACAAGAGACAGUAAAAGCCUAUGAAAGGCUUUCUUCUUUAUAAAUACAUCCCUCCUCCUCCCUGCAUCCCACCUUUUGGAAAAUCUACAAAUGAAGUUGAAUCCUGCCCACUACAGUGUGUGGCUGAAAAUCCACCCCUUCCUCCAGGAUAACAGAGGGAGUAAAGCCCUCAAAAAUCAAGUCAGACCGAAGUGGAAAGACUGUUCUUAGCCAGCCUGGCUUGGGUUUGCCUCUGUGGCUGCAGACAGAGUUGAUCCUCCAUAUGAAGAGGAAGGGAGUUGCGGAUAGGUAAUUCCCAGCUUUCCCCCACUUCCAUCUCCUGGCAUCAUGCCUACCUCUGUUCUUACACAGCUGUAGCACUCACGAGACACCCUUAUAAACUGGUUCAGUUCAGUGACCCACCUCUCAGCUGACUUAGUGAGCUAAGUCUGUUCACAGAGGGCUCUGGUGGGCACCAGAGCUGGAGCAAGGAGAGGGCAGAGAGAGAAGUAGGAUCUCUCCUGGUGAUGCUGAGCCUCUAGCCUGGCUCGGCUGUGUGAGGAGCGGCAGCUGACUGUCGCAUUAUGAAAUUGUUGUACAAAUGGUGUGAUUGCCAGUGAAUGAUAAUAGUGCUGUCUGUCUCAUAAAGAGACUUUUUCAAAAGCAUUGUUGAUGCCGGUAUAAAUUGGCACGGCUUCAAUCAGUGUGUCAUUUGUCUGGUAGGCUACGAAACGCUCUUGCAAAACUGGCCUGUGUUUCAAGACUUUGUCUCUAUCAUAUUGACCCUAAUGAAAAUCCAAGCUACUAAAUGACUCAUUCCUGUUGUCCUUCACCCUGAAAUAGGUACUCAUACCCACAAUUCACAUCACUGAAAAUCUCUUAGAAAAAAAAUCACUCUUCAAACAAAGCCUAUGAAGUCCUCGUUCCAGCCUGCUGAAGCAGCCUUUGCUUCUCAAACAAAUUUCUUUAGGAAGAGAUGAGAGCUGGUGAGAAAAUCACCUCCGUGCUCCUGUGUUUUAGUGAGGAUGGAAAAGGGCAGCAUGACAUUCUUGCACAAAGCAUUUUCUCUUUCAGUGUAUCUUAAGUAGCUUGGAAUAAGAAAAGAAAGCCUUUUCUUGGGUUACUGAAGCUACAAAGCUGUCAUAUAAUUGGGGACCAUCCUGGACAAAUAAUGGGGUGGCAGAGGGUUGGGGGAGGAAGGGAGAAGAAAAGGGUUUAGUGUGAAAAUGAAUCUAACAAACGAAGAUGGACUUAACCUGUUAAGUAGCCUUGAAACCUGAGCUGAGAUGCUAAUCCUCUCAGGACAAAGCUGAAUCCUGCUCUUGGGGGUGUGCGGGUGGUGUUGUACCUGCUUUGAGAACGUGGAAAAAGCCCUUUCUAAAAGCAGGGGAUGGAGGCUUUCCAUUGUCUAGGAAGUAUCUUGUUUAUCACAGAAUGGUAUUAUUUCCCAUCUUGAGUUCUUUGAUAUCUGAGUUUUGGAUGAAGUGUGAAAAUGAAUACUGUCAAUAAAAAUAAAAAUAAAAAAAAAAUAGGAGAAAAACAAAACAAAAGAAAAUUGGAGCAAGAGAUGCUGUAAACAGAGAGGAGAACAAACAUUUUUGCUAUGUAAGUCUGCUGCAUUGCUGAGUGGCUGCCUGAGAUGUAGGAGAUGUAAGGAGCAAAUUCUUUCACUCUGGUUAGGAGAAGGCAGCAGAUAGACCUGUGUUUGAGGAUGUGGUGGAGAUGAAGCAACCCAAAAUCUUAAAAACCAUUUUCUUCAUAGUGGCAGGAAAGGCUGUAACAGUUGAAGACUUCUGAGAUCAGGUCCCACCAGAGAGAGACACCAAGUGAAACCACAUGGAGAUACAGAGCAUGCAGUUUGGUUGGUAAAGAGAAGGAUGGAUGGUGAAGAAACCAGUGGUCUGGACAAGCUCGAUGUCUAGGUUUAUGUGCAUUUUGAAUCUUUUCUGGUCACACAGUUUCUUCUGGAAACAUAAGCUCAGGCUCAAUGUUAUCUACCUGAGAGUAAUAGGUCUGAAAAUAUCCCACUAUACUGCUCCACCUUUUACUGUACUGGUGCCAAGGCCUGUCCAGAUACAGAAAUUUUCAGGAUUA
Molecule: non-coding RNA, 9410 nt
Organism: Coturnix japonica (Japanese quail)
Lineage: Eukaryota; Metazoa; Chordata; Aves; Galliformes; Phasianidae
Source: RefSeq, a predicted model, not a curated record